Mus musculus (house mouse) is the source of this 315-nucleotide long non-coding RNA. RefSeq annotates it as predicted gene, 40561. The transcript is spliced from 3 exons. NCBI's taxonomy places the organism in Eukaryota, Metazoa, Chordata, Mammalia, Rodentia, Muridae. The record is from RefSeq and is a predicted model, not a curated record.
AUGUGCUCGAUCACACGUGGGCAAGAGGUACUUGGGCGGGAAACAUGUCAGGGCAUAUGCUUGCCCUCAUUGGAGGUUUAACACUAUCUUCAACAAAAGUCUGGAGUGUUAGGCAGAGACUCCAAAACAGCGAUGCUGGAGACAAGGCCCUAAGAGAAGGCCUUUGGCUGGGUAAACAGAAGCCUAAAGGCAGCUUUCUGUUUCCUGGGAAAGCAGAUCCCCUAAGUUGGUGAUGGUGUCUACAUGCUGAAUUUCAUGGCCUGAUGGGUGCUUCCUCGAUGGAUCAAUCGUGCAGAUUUCUGGGGGCCUCCUGUG